Molecule: long non-coding RNA, 735 nt
Filed under: Vulpes vulpes (red fox)
Lineage: Eukaryota; Metazoa; Chordata; Mammalia; Carnivora; Canidae
Description: lncRNA (ENSVVUG00000002245.1)
Source: RNAcentral
CAUAAAUUCCCAAUGGGGGGCUUUUAAACACUACUAUACUCUCCUAAUAAAGAUUGUGCUGUCUUAAAGGUAAUGAAGGGUGAACAGGUAUUCAUCGACAUCAAAGGAGAGAUAUGAAGCCUACAUCAUACAACCUUACAAUUUUGAGAAUUGUUAUUGAAUAAUUAGAGUUUCUGUUCUUGGCAACACCAUAAUGCCUCAUGACACCUGAGUCCAAAGUUUGCAUUUUCCAUUUCAGGCAACUUUACUUGUUCUAUAACUGAUACCUUACUGUUUGUAAUGGCAGACAAAUCUCAAGACAUGUAUGAAACUUCCAGAAAACUAUUGUCUCUCUUGCCUGUAAAGGGCAGCCUGAAAGAAUGACCCUGCGAAAGGCUUCCAGCUAUUACGGGGCAUGUAAUUCUCUUCAUCUAGAAGACCAAACUAUCUCCUUUUUGUGAGCACUGGAAAUAGUCAGUCAACGUGACAGCCUCCUCGUUCAUCCCAGAAGUAAUUGUAUCAACUUAACAUAAUGGCCUGGGAGGUGGGGGCCAUGGGAGAGUAAUAGGAUUUAAACUCCAAUUCUUCUCAGCAGCUGGCUAGGAUUAGCAAAUAGAGAUAAAUAGAAGCCCUUUGCUAUUUUUAUAAAUCACAACUUUGAUAAAGGUUUAGAUUUGAAACAUCUGAAAUUUCUCCAGAGAUGGCAUAUAAAAACUAUUAGUAGAAAGGUACAGAAAACCUAGAUUUGGUGAAGAA